This 1256-nucleotide long non-coding RNA is filed under the name Mus musculus (house mouse). RNAcentral describes it as "RIKEN cDNA 5830487J09 gene". Lineage: Eukaryota; Metazoa; Chordata; Mammalia; Rodentia; Muridae. The record is from RNAcentral.
UUUUUUUUUUUUUUUUUGGUUUGGUUUGGUUUGGUUUUUUGGGGUUUUGGGGGUUUUUGUUUUUGGUUUUUUGUUUUUUUGUUUUUUUUGGUAAAAAUUUAAUUAUUAUUAUACAUAAGUACACUGUAGCUGACUUCAGACACACCAGAAGAGGGCAUCAGAUCUCAUUACAGAUGGUUGUGAGCCACCUUGUGGUUGCUGGGAUUUGAACUCAGGACCUUCGGUAGAGCAGUCAGUGCUCUUCCCCGCUGAGCCAUCUCUCCAGCCCAUGUUUUUUGUUUUUUUGAUUUUCGAGACAGGGUUUCUCUGUGUAGCCAUGACUCCUGGUCUAUAGAGCAAGUUCCAGGAUAGUUUGGGCUAUACAGAGAAAAAAACCUGUCUCCAAAAAAAAAAAAAAAAAAAAAAAGUCAUAUAAGUUUUUGAGGAACUGCCGUUAACAUGGAUUUUCAAGGGAAAAUGAAAAGAUUUUGAGUCUGUGUCCUAGAUAAUCCAUCCGUUACUCCCAUCAAGGGUUAAUUUGUGUUUGGGGGUGGGAGUUGUUGAAACAGAUUGUAACCCAGAUUGGCCUUGAACCCUUUAUCCCCCUGCCUCAGCCUUCCAAAUGCUAGGUUCACAGCCUCCCUGACUGGGAUCUGUCCGUGCCAGCCCAGGUAACCCUCACAGCCCCUGGAAAGGGUUGGGUGGCUGUCGUCAACCUUGUCUAUAUAGGGGAGGCUGAGAUCUCGGACAGAAAAUACUGGUCCGGUGAUUCACCAGGCGGAAAUCUGACUCCAAACUGAUUCCCUCUGCAUCCUCAGAUGUGGAUUGUAAGAAAGCCCAGCACAGAAACUCUGACCAACCGCGUAAAGGCGGGUUGCUGGUCUGGGUACAGUAGCAGAACACCCGAAGCGUCUUGAAGCUCCUACCCGCCCUGUGAGUAGCUAGCUGUCUGUAGCCCGCCUGCCUCAGGUUCUAGACAGCUGCUGGCUGUGUGCCCAUAUCAUUUAUAUAGUUUUUAGAUUCUGUAUUUUGUUAUUCCUCUGCCUCAGGAAGUAAGCCGUGGUUGCUUGGGCAUAUACCCCAUCUUCAAGAUUAAAAAUCAAAUUUAAAUAAAGUCAGGGUGAUCUGUCAUCUGGGCCAUGUGUGAACAACCUAAGCCAGGGUGGCAUCUGGGGGAAGCAUUUCCGUUGUGUGUCCUAGAAUCUCUAGAUAAACUCCCGUGACCCACAGAGUUCCAAGCCCCCAUCACCUCUUCCAACCUCUACCUUCCUUUUGCC